AUACGGAGGGUGCAAGCGUUAAUCGGAAUUACUGGGCGUAAAGCGCGCGUAGGCGGCUUGAUAAGUCGGAUGUGAAAUCCCCGGGCUUAACCUGGGAAUUGCAUUCGAUACUGUCAGGCUAGAGUGUGGUAGAGGGAAGUGGAAUUUCCGGUGUAGCGGUGAAAUGCGUAGAUAUCGGAAAGAACAUCAGUGGCGAAGGCGGCUUCCUGGAUCAACACUGACGCUGAGGUGCGAAAGCGUGGGGAGCAAACAGGAUUAGAUACCCUAGUAGUCC
RNAcentral lists this ribosomal RNA (274 nucleotides) under uncultured bacterium. Its description in RNAcentral is "partial 16S ribosomal RNA". It matches the Rfam family "Bacterial small subunit ribosomal RNA", at positions 523 to 796 of the family's 1533-position model. The record is from RNAcentral.